RNAcentral lists this ribosomal RNA (252 nucleotides) under uncultured bacterium. RNAcentral describes it as "partial 16S ribosomal RNA". It matches the Rfam family "Bacterial small subunit ribosomal RNA", at positions 524 to 776 of the family's 1533-position model. The record is from RNAcentral.
UACGUAGGUCCCGAGCGUUGUCCGGAUUUAUUGGGCGUAAAGCGAGCGCAGGUGGUUUAUUAAGUCUGGUGUAAAAGGCAGUGGCUCAACCAUUGUAUGCAUUGGAAACUGGUAAACUUGAGUGCAGGAGAGGAGAGUGGAGUUCCAUGUGUAGCGGUGAAAUGCGUAGAUAUUAGGAGGAACACCAGUGGCGAAGGCGGCUUACUGGACGGCAACUGACGCUGAGGCUCGAAAGCGUGGGGAGCAAACAGG